GGCUCGGUAGCUUAGUUGGUAAAGCGCUCGUCUAGCAUACAAGAGUUCUGGCUUCGAAUCCCAGCCGAGCAC
This 72-nucleotide transfer RNA is filed under the name Aedes aegypti (yellow fever mosquito). It matches the Rfam family "tRNA". Rfam says of the family: Transfer RNA (tRNA) molecules are approximately 80 nucleotides in length. Their secondary structure includes four short double-helical elements and three loops (D, anti-codon, and T loops). Lineage: Eukaryota; Metazoa; Arthropoda; Insecta; Diptera; Culicidae. The record is from Rfam by way of RNAcentral.